RNAcentral lists this ribosomal RNA (508 nucleotides) under uncultured bacterium. RNAcentral's name for it is "partial 16S ribosomal RNA". It matches the Rfam family "Bacterial small subunit ribosomal RNA", at positions 28 to 507 of the family's 1533-position model. The record is from RNAcentral.
GACGAACGCUGGCGGCGUGCCUAAUACAUGCAAGUCGAACGCUUCUUUCCUCCCGAGUGCUUGCACUCAAUUGGAAAGAGGAGUGGCGGACGGGUGAGUAACACGUGGGUAACCUACCCAUCAGAGGGGGAUAACACUUGGAAACAGGUGCUAAUACCGCAUAACAGUUUAUGCCGCAUGGCAUAAGAGUGAAAGGCGCUUUCGGGUGUCGCUGAUGGAUGGACCCGCGGUGCAUUAGCUAGUUGGUGAGGUAACGGCUCACCAAGGCCACGAUGCAUAGCCGACCUGAGAGGGUGAUCGGCCACACUGGGACUGAGACACGGCCCAGACUCCUACGGGAGGCAGCAGUAGGGAAUCUUCGGCAAUGGACGAAAGUCUGACCGAGCAACGCCGCGUGAGUGAAGAAGGUUUUCGGAUCGUAAAACUCUGUUGUUAGAGAAGAACAAGGACGUUAGUAACUGAACGUCCCCUGACGGUAUCUAACCAGAAAGACACGGCUAACUACGUG